AGGCUUAGACCAUUUCUAAAUCAAGAGGCAAAGAUUUUAUUAUUAUGCCAUAAAGUUUUAGCAAUUAACUAAGGGAAAGAGGCUGACUAAGUUCCCUACUGGAACUCACCAUUAUGAUGCUUAGGAAGUAGGCUAACCUUAAAAGGAGUUAGCCAUUGUGAUGCUUUUUAAAUGGUGGAGUUAGCUAUAACUAGGAGAAAGAUGUCACAAGGCAGGCAAAAUCCCUAGAGAACUUUCUGCCAUAAGGCAGGCAGAUUUAAGAAACCAACAAAGAAAUGGGGGACAGUUUUCUAGGAAGCAUUCUUUUGUGAACAUUAAUCACCAAAGGCUUGAAGCCUGCCGGUGCCUGGCAAUCAAUCAACGUUUAGGAAGCAUCUGCUAUGUGCCAGGCACUGUGAGGAGGACUGGGGAUACAAAAACAUGGUCCUUGUCCUCGAGGAGCUUCCGAUCUAACGGGAGAGACAACCUGCAAGCACAGACAAAGUUCUAUACAGGGUAAAUAGGAAACAUUAACCGAGAGAAGGCACCAGAAUUGGGCAGCCUGGGUGCAUGAUCAAUGCUUCACUGGACGUGGAUGGAGGGAGAAAGCAGUUGGAGGGGUGCACAAGCCAGGAGCAGGGACGAAGUGGGCCAGGGAAUUUUAGGAGAUCGUGAGCUCCUCAUCUCUCUAGGUCUUUAGGCCGACUGGGGAGGCCAUUUGUCCGCCCAGGGGCCACGGGGCCUCAUCGGGACAGCCUCCUGGGCCCUUCCCGUUGCGGAUUCGGGGAGGGUCUCCAGCUAGCGUCUACUGGGGGGCCUUCUCUCGAAGUCUACCCCCUCCUCAGAUAUAAACGGUCACUGGCGGAAGCCCCUUCCCAUCCUGAAGCCUCUUUCCCGGGGAAUAACGGGCCCGCUCUGUCCAAUCACUGGGCUCCGUGAGACACAGAGUUCUACCGCCCUGGAGGUAACACUCCUUUUCUGGUAGGUGUGCGCACAUCCCGCCUCCCACUCUGCAAAUGCGCAUGCUCAGUUUCCGUUCCAGGGACGGGCCCCAGGAGUUAUGA
RNAcentral lists this long non-coding RNA (1043 nucleotides) under Sarcophilus harrisii (Tasmanian devil). RNAcentral's name for it is "lncRNA (ENSSHAG00000026030.1)". Lineage: Eukaryota; Metazoa; Chordata; Mammalia; Dasyuromorphia; Dasyuridae. The record is from RNAcentral.